Molecule: long non-coding RNA, 1544 nt
Organism: Papaver somniferum (opium poppy)
Lineage: Eukaryota; Viridiplantae; Streptophyta; Magnoliopsida; Ranunculales; Papaveraceae
Exons: 2
Source: RefSeq, a predicted model, not a curated record
UUCUUUUCUUUUCUCUCUUUCUUCUUCUUCUUCUUGUUAUUCUCUAUCAAUUCAGAGAGGAAAUAUCUGUCGAUAAUCUUCACAGAAAAUUAGUGAAACCAUUGAAUCAAAUAAGAUGGUGUUGAGUUCAUAAAUUGGAUUUGGUUAGAAGUUUCGAUUUAGUUGAAGAGACAUAGUUUUGUGAGAAUUAGGGUUAAAGAUUGAUGUUGGUUUUAGUAGAAAAUUGUUUGGAUAAUCGGUUUGUUAUCAAAUGUAGAACAUAGGGUUGCUGCUGAAUCGGAAAUUGUAUUAUUGGUCUGAAGAAUAACUGAGGUAUUAGUAGUUAGGGAUUCACUGGAGUGGCAAAGAGGAUUCAAAGAUGAAAUUGAUGUUCCAGAUAAGUUAUUAGAGAUGGGUAUGGGUUGAUUAAGUGAAAUUACAGUUGAAAUUAAGUUGUAAUUGAUGAAGUGAUGGAUUAAUUAGGGUUUGUGUGUUGAAGACUGGGAAUUGAAUCGGGGUUUGACAUCGAGAAAACAAGAGUACAAUGGAGAAAACCAGUGCAUGCUGGUGGUGUUAAUUCAGGCGUUAAUUCAAAUUUAAGAAGAACCAAAUAAGUUUAUAUCGAAGCUGGUGGUGCUGAAAUUGCAGUCCAUGAGAAUGGUGGUGGUGUUGCUGUGACGGUGAAGGUUGGUUACUGGAUUGCAUUUUGUAUGAGUUGAAGUUGUGGAUUGGUGGUAGAAAUGAGAAGCUGAGAUUGUUAUUUGAACCUAGAAUUAAGAUGUAUAUGUGGGUAUGAAGCUGAGAGUUCUGAAUUUGUCUUGUGUUUGAAUUACAAGGGAAUUGGUAUAGGUUAAGAUGAAUUGCAGGGAGGACUGAGAAGUGGUGAUAACUUUUAUGAGGGACUGUUGGAAUGUUUGAAUUGGGUUUCUUUUGGCUGUGAUGUUAAGGAUUACAGGUUGAGAUGAACUGGAAUGAAUAGAAUUAGAGAUAUGAGGAGAUGUGUAAUGGUGGAAGUUCUACAAUUGUUAUAUGUUUUCUGAAUUGAAGUUUGUGUGGAUUGAAGUUCUUUUGGAUGGUUGAUGGCGGUGUUGAACGGAGUUUAAGGCAGUGGUAUGAGAUGUAAUUGUAUUUGCUAAGCCUUAAAUAUGGCUGUUGGAGUAAUUGAAAUGAGUUUAUUAUGGAUGUGUGAAUUGUUGAUAACACUGAAGUGAAGAAUGUGUAGAUUAGAAAUAGAACCGCAGUGAAGAUAUUGAUGUAUAUGUGGUGGAUUAGUUUGCCGUAUGUGACUGAUAUUGCUUGUAAUGAUGGGUUUGCUUAUGCUGAGGCUGAAUCACAGUUAGAAGUGAAGUGUAGUCAGGAUGGGAGUUACAUAUGAGAUUUGAGUUUGAUAUAAGUGAGUCAGAUGUUGUGUAAUUGAAAUAUAAGAAUGAGGGUUAAAUGAAUAUGAUGAAUUGAACCUCCCCAGUGGAAGAUUGUAACUGCGAUCGCAGGUAAACCUAGUUUACAUUUGUAAUUGGAAUUUAAAGUUUGUUUUAAAUGAAUGAAAUUGAGGUUGAAAUGCUGAA